CUACAGAACGAACGCUGGCGGCAUGCCUAACACAUGCAAGUCGAACGAGACCUUCGGGUCUAGUGGCGCACGGGUGCGUAACGCGUGGGAACCUGCCUUUAGGUUCGGAAUAACUCAGAGAAAUUUGAGCUAAUACCGGAUAAUGUCUUCGGACCAAAGAUUUAUCGCCUUUAGAUGGGCCCGCGUUGGAUUAGCUAGUUGGUGGGGUAAAGGCCUACCAAGGCGACGAUCCAUAGCUGGUCUGAGAGGAUGAUCAGCCACACUGGGACUGAGACACGGCCCAGACUCCUACGGGAGGCAGCAGUGGGGAAUAUUGGACAAUGGGCGAAAGCCUGAUCCAGCAAUGCCGCGUGAGUGAUGAAGGCCUUAGGGUUGUAAAGCUCUUUACCCGAGAUGAUAAUGACAGUAUCGGGAGAAUAAGCUCCGGCUAACUCCGUG
Molecule: ribosomal RNA, 438 nt
Filed under: uncultured bacterium
Lineage: Bacteria
Description: bacterial SSU rRNA
Rfam family: Bacterial small subunit ribosomal RNA
Source: RNAcentral